Molecule: ribosomal RNA, 253 nt
Filed under: uncultured prokaryote
Description: partial 16S ribosomal RNA
Rfam family: Bacterial small subunit ribosomal RNA
Source: RNAcentral
ACGAAGGGUGCAAGCGUUAAUCGGAAUUACUGGGCGUAAAGCGUGCGUAGGCGGUUGUUUAAGUCUGCUGUGAAAUCCCCGGGCUCAACCUGGGAAUGGCAGUGGAUACUGGACAGCUAGAGUGUGUCAGAGGAUGGUGGAAUUCCCGGUGUAGCGGUGAAAUGCGUAGAGAUCGGGAGGAACAUCAGUGGCGAAGGCGGCCAUCUGGGACAACACUGACGCUGAGGCACGAAAGCGUGGGGAGCAAACAGGA